GCGGGGUGACGGACCGGAGACGACCGAGGGCCCGGCCACCGGAUUCGGUGACCAGGCCCUCGGUCGUGACGGCUGUCGACUCGC
RNAcentral lists this microRNA precursor (84 nucleotides) under Allostreptomyces psammosilenae. Its description in RNAcentral is "microRNA MIR1846". It matches the Rfam family "MIR1846 microRNA precursor family", at positions 1 to 86 of the family's 110-position model. Lineage: Bacteria; Bacillati; Actinomycetota; Actinomycetes; Kitasatosporales; Streptomycetaceae. The record is from RNAcentral.